RNAcentral lists this ribosomal RNA (253 nucleotides) under uncultured bacterium. RNAcentral describes it as "partial 16S ribosomal RNA". It matches the Rfam family "Bacterial small subunit ribosomal RNA", at positions 524 to 776 of the family's 1533-position model. The record is from RNAcentral.
UACGUAGGUGACAAGCGUUGUCCGGAUUUACUGGGCGUAAAGAGCGCGCAGGCGGUCGAUCAAGUCGAGUGUGAAAGCCCCCGGCUCAACUGGGGAGGGUCAUUCGAUACUGGUCGACUCGAAGGCAGGAGAGGGUAGUGGAAUUCCCGGUGUAGUGGUGAAAUGCGUAGAUAUCGGGAGGAACACCAGUGGCGAAGGCGACUACCUGGCCUGUUAUUGACGCUGAGGCGCGAAAGCUAGGGGAGCAAACGGG